GGGGAAGGGUAGCUUGCUACCUGACCUAGCGGCGGACGGGUGAGUAAUGCUUAGGAAUCUGCCUAUUAGUGGGGGACAACAUUCCGAAAGGAAUGCUAAUACCGCAUACGCCCUACGGGGGAAAGCAGGGGAUCUUCGGACCUUGCGCUAAUAGAUGAGCCUAAGUCAAGAUUAGCCUAGUUGGUGGGGUAAGGCUACCAAGCGACGAUCUUUACCGGGUCUGAAAAGGAUAUCCCCCCCUUGGGACCUGGGAACCGGCCCAAACCUCCUACCGGAAGGCAGCAGUGGGGGAUUUUUGGACAAUGGGCGAAAAGCCUUAUCCCACCCUUCCCCGGUUGUUUAAAAAAAGCCUUUUUGGUUUUAAAAGCCCUUUUAGCCAAGGAGGGGG
RNAcentral lists this ribosomal RNA (388 nucleotides) under uncultured bacterium. RNAcentral's name for it is "partial 16S ribosomal RNA". It matches the Rfam family "Bacterial small subunit ribosomal RNA", at positions 68 to 453 of the family's 1533-position model. The record is from RNAcentral.